RNAcentral lists this ribosomal RNA (587 nucleotides) under uncultured bacterium. RNAcentral describes it as "partial 16S ribosomal RNA". It matches the Rfam family "Bacterial small subunit ribosomal RNA", at positions 355 to 1375 of the family's 1533-position model. The record is from RNAcentral.
UGGGGAAUUUUGGACAAUGGGCGAAAGCCUGAUCCAGCAAUGCCGCGUGUGUGAAGAAGGCCUUCGGGUUGUAAAGCACUUUUGUCCGGAAAGAAAUCCUUGGCUCUAAUACAGUCGGGAGAUGACGGUACCGGAAGAAUAAGCACCGGCUAACUACGUGCCAGCAGCCGCGGUAAUACGUAGGGUGCAAGCGUUAAUCGGAAUUACUGGGCGUAAAGCGUGCGCAGGCGGUUUGCUAAGACCGAUGUGAAAUCCCCGGGCUCAACCUGGGAACUGCAUUGGUGACUGGCAGGCUAGAGUAUGGCAGAGGGGGGUAGAAUUCCACGUGUAGCAGUGAAAUGCGUAGAGAUGUGGAGGAAUACCGAUGGCGAAGGCAGCCCCCUGGGCCAAUACUGACGCUCAUGCACGAAAGCGUGGGGAGCAAAACAGGAUUAGAUACCCUGGUAGUCCACGCCCUAAAACGAUGUCAACUAGUUGUUGGGGAUUCAUUUCCUUAGUAACGUAGCUAACGCGUGAAGUUGACCGCCUGGGGAGUACGGUCGCAAGAUUAAAACUCAAAUGAAUUGACGGGGUCAUAGCUGUUUCCU